GAGGAAGUAAAAGUCGUAACAAGGUUUCCGUAGGUGAACCUGCGGAAGGAUCAUUACAGAGUUCAUGCCCUUACGGGUAGAUCUCCCACCCUUGAAUACUAUACCUUUGUUGCUUUGGCGGGCCGCCUCGGCUACCGGCUUCGGCUGGUAAGUGCCCGCCAGAGGACCCUAAACUCUGAAUGUUAAUGUCGUCUGAGUACUAUAUAAUAGUUAAAACUUUCAACAACGGAUCUCUUGGUUCUGGCAUCGAUGAAGAACGCAGCGAAAUGCGAUAAGUAAUGUGAAUUGCAGAAUUCAGUGAAUCAUCGAAUCUUUGAACGCACAUUGCGCCCCUUGGUAUUCCGAGGGGCAUGCCUGUUCGAGCGUCAUUAUAACCCUCAAGCCUAGCUUGGUGUUGGGGCCUGCUGUUACCGGCAGCCCUUAAAACUAGUGGCGGUGCCACCUGGCUCUAAGCGUAGUAAUACUUCUCGCUAUAGAGUCCCGGUGGAUGCUUGCCAUCAACCCCUAAUUUUCUAUGGUUGACCUCGGAUCAGGUAGGGAUACCCGCUGAACUUAA
Molecule: ribosomal RNA, 556 nt
Filed under: uncultured fungus
Lineage: Eukaryota; Fungi
Description: eukaryotic LSU rRNA
Rfam family: 5.8S ribosomal RNA (bases 215-368)
Source: RNAcentral